GUUGCUGCAAACCUAGCAAUGUCUUCUGAGCUCUCUUGGAGACCUUUGGGAUGACUACCUCCAUAGCUGAAGACCUUUGCUUGCUCUUUGACACCACCUUGAAACUUGUUGUAGGCUUUCUUCUGCUUGGUAGCUGCACCACUUGUUGUCUUGAACUUUUCUUGAGAGACAGUAGUAUUCUUAUGUUGGCGCUCGCUGCAACUAAUGCUCCACC
RNAcentral lists this long non-coding RNA (214 nucleotides) under Elaeis guineensis (African oil palm). Its description in RNAcentral is "long non-coding RNA (EGUI_LNC031146)". Lineage: Eukaryota; Viridiplantae; Streptophyta; Magnoliopsida; Arecales; Arecaceae. The record is from RNAcentral.